GACAGAGGCCCCAAGCUUUAGUCGGAAUCACUGGGCUUAAAGGGUGCGUAGGCGGGCGUGUAAGUGUCUCGUGAAAGCCCCGGGCUCAACCCGGGAACCGCGGGGCAUACUGCACGUCUUGAGGAAGCUAGAGGCCGGUGGAACGAUCGGUGGAGCGGUGGAAUGCGUAGAGAUCGAUCGGAACGCCAAGGGUGAAGACAACCGGCUGGGGCUUUCCUGACGCUGAGGCACGAAAGCGAGGGGAUCAAACAGG
This 253-nucleotide ribosomal RNA is filed under the name uncultured bacterium. Its description in RNAcentral is "partial 16S ribosomal RNA". It matches the Rfam family "Bacterial small subunit ribosomal RNA", at positions 524 to 776 of the family's 1533-position model. The record is from RNAcentral.